Long non-coding RNA from Cynoglossus semilaevis (tongue sole), 1171 nucleotides. RefSeq lists it as uncharacterized. The transcript is spliced from 4 exons. The record is from RefSeq and is a predicted model, not a curated record. NCBI's taxonomy places the organism in Eukaryota, Metazoa, Chordata, Actinopteri, Pleuronectiformes, Cynoglossidae.
UUUUUUUUUUUUGUAACUGGCCUGAUCCAGUUUGUUUUUUCUUGUACUUUGUCCAACAUGUAUGGACAUGUGGUGUGGUUGGAAACCGUUUACUACAAAGUGUAACUCCAAAACCACACCAAAGAACCUGUAAAAGUACUACAGUGGAACUUGGAAUUUUUGAACUUAAUUCGUUUCUGAAGGCCGUUCGUGAACCAAAAACUUCACAGCCUUACGACCUUUAGGAACGAAUUAGCUAGCAUGAAAGACUGUACACUCACUAAUUGUUGUAUAAAAUUAUUAUUUGAUGUUUAUUGUUUAUAUAUUUAUUUUAUUUUAUUUAUUUAGUGGGAACCUCAUAAUAUUUCCUCUUUGAUUUGCAAUCCAAGCACAGGCCAAAUUGGACAAUUCUUUGGGCCGAAUUGGGCCCUCGGGCCGCCAGUUGAUAAUUACUGCUCUAUGAGAUAUCUUAAAAAUCUUAAGAAACUCGGUUGAAAUAGAGCAUUCGUAGCGGCCAAGUCUUUUCAAACAGAGAAAGUCACUUUAGAAAGAGGAUAAAAUAGAUCAACGCUAACAUGUCAACGCUAACACGUCAAUCAUUUAAACACUGCUGUAAGCGGUGAGGCGAUGAGUAAGUUUAUCCACACACUAUAACCUCGACACAGGCGACUUGUUCCCAACCUUGUUUUUGGUUUAUUUUUGGAACUGACUUUGCUCAUGAGUGAACCGGGUGGUUUGGUGACAUAUUUCAACGACUUAUAUCAUCGCAGCAACAGACGUCCCCGUCAGCUACAUCUGGGCUCGGUCAGUGUGAAGACACGAUAACUAGGAUUUCUGUGACACGACCCCAAUAAAAUUCAAGGAAAAUGAAAGUGAAAACCAUCGCUUUCUUCUUUGGCCUAAUGCUCUUGCUCGGUACGUCGUCCUCAGAGUAUGCUGACAGUGACGAAGUUAUUCCAGAGGAUGUUGCCCUGUUGAUAUUGGUCAAACCUCGAGAUCCUCAAGUUCCGGAGCCACAACCGUCUCGCAGUCCUUCUGAUGUGGAAAAACCCAGUGGAUAAACGCAGCUUUCCUUCAAUCUGCCGAUGCCAAAAUCCUCAAAUUAAAUAAUAAAAAUCAAACGGUUUAUAUUGAACAUAGUAAUGAUGCCAUUUAAUGUAACAUUACAACCACAAUAAAUAGAUGUUCACCU